RNAcentral lists this ribosomal RNA (253 nucleotides) under uncultured bacterium. RNAcentral describes it as "partial 16S ribosomal RNA". It matches the Rfam family "Bacterial small subunit ribosomal RNA", at positions 524 to 776 of the family's 1533-position model. The record is from RNAcentral.
UACGGGGGGGGCAAGCGUUGUUCGGAAUUACUGGGCGUAAAGGGCUCGUAGGCGGCCAACUAAAUCGGAUGUGAAAUCCCCAGGCUUAACCUGGGAACUGCAUCCGAUACUGGAUGGCUUGAAUCCGGGAGAGGGAUGCAGAAUUCCAGGUGUAGCGGUGAAAUGCGUAGAUAUCUGGAGGAAUACCGGUGGCGAAGGCGGCAUCCUGGACCGGCAUUGACGCUGAUGAGCGAAAGCUAGGGGAGCAAACGGG